AGCUAGUUGGUGAGGUAACGGCCCACCAAGGCGACGAUCGGUAGCCGGACUGAGAGGUUGAACGGCCACAUUGGGACUGAGACACGGCCCAGACUCCUACGGGAGGCAGCAGUGGGGAAUAUUGCACAAUGGGGGAAACCCUGAUGCAGCGACGCCGCGUGGAGGAAGAAGGUCUUCGGAUUGUAAACUCCUGUUGUUGGGGAAGAUAAUGACGGUACCCAACAAGGAAGUGACGGCUAACUACGUGCCAGCAGCCGCGGUAAAACGUAGGUCACAAGCGUUGUCCGGAAUUACUGGGUGUAAAGGGAGCGCAGGCGGGAAGACAAGUUGGAAGUGAAAUCUAUGGGCUCAACCCAUAAACUGCUUUCAAAACUGUUUUUCUUGAGUAGUGCAGAGGUAGGCGGAAUUCCCGGUGUAGCGGUGGAAUGCGUAGAUAUCGGGAGGAACACCAGUGGCGAAGGCGGCCUACUGGGCACCAACUGACGCUGAGGCUCGAAAGUGUGGGUAGCAAACAGGAUUAGAUACCCUGGUAGUCCACACCGUAAACGAUGAUUACUAGGUGUUGGAGGAUUGACCCCUUCAGUGCCGCAGUUAACACAAUAAGUAAUCCACCUGGGGAGUACGACCGCAAGGUUGAAACUCAAAGGAAUUGACGGGGGCCCGCACAAGCAGUGGAGUAUGUGGUUUAAUUCGACGCAACGCGAAGAACCUUACCAAGUCUUGACAUCCCUUGACGAUGCUGGAAACAGUAUUUCUCUUCGGAGCAAGGAGACAGGUGGUGCAUGGUUGCCGUCAGCUCGUGUCGUGAGAUGUUGGGUUAAGUCCCGCAACGAGCGCAACCCUUAUGGUCAGUUACUACGCAAGAGGACUCUGGCCAGACUGCCGUUGACAAAACGGAGGAAGGUGGGGAUGACGUCAAAUCAUCAUGCCCUUUAUGACUUGGGCUACACACGUACUACAAUGGCGUUAAACAAAGAGAAGCAAGACCGCGAGGUGGAGCAAAACUCAGAAACAACGUCCCAGUUCGGACUGCAGGCUGCAACUCGCCUGCACGAAGUCGGAAUUGCUAGUAAUCGUGGAUCAGCAUGCCACGGUGAAUACGUUCCCGGGCCUUGUACACACCGCCCGUCACACCAUGAGAGCCGGGGGGACCCGAAGUCGGUAGUCUAACCGUAAGGAGGACGCCGCCGAAGGUAAAACUGGUGAUUGGGGUGAAGUCGGAACAAGGUAGCCGUAGGAGAACCUGCGGCUG
RNAcentral lists this ribosomal RNA (1252 nucleotides) under metagenome. RNAcentral describes it as "bacterial SSU rRNA". It matches the Rfam family "Bacterial small subunit ribosomal RNA", at positions 243 to 1520 of the family's 1533-position model. The record is from RNAcentral.